This 107-nucleotide small RNA is filed under the name Marmota monax (woodchuck). Lineage: Eukaryota; Metazoa; Chordata; Mammalia; Rodentia; Sciuridae. The record is from RNAcentral.
GCUAGGCACAGUGGCGCAUGCCUGUAAUCCCAAUGACUUGGGAGGCUGAGGCAGGAGGAUCACAAGUUCUAAGCCAGCCUCAGCAACUUAGCAAGACCUUGUCUCAA